UGCAUCGAUGAAGAACGCAGCGAAAUGCGAUAAGUAAUGCGAAUUGCAGAAUUCAGUGAAUCAUCGAAUCUUUGAACGCACAUUGCGCCCGCCAGUAUUCUGGCGGGCAUGCCUGUCUGAGCGUCGUUUCGACCCUCGCGCCCGGCUUCUGUCGGGGGCGGUGUUGGGGAUCGGCCACACCCACUCCGGUGGGAGGCCGGCCCCUAAAUCCAGUGGCGACCACGCUGUAGCCUCCCCUGCGUAGUACUAAAACCACCUCGCAGGCGGAGAGCGGUGCGGCCCGCCGUAAAACCCCCCAACUUUUACAAGGUCGACCUCAGAUCAGGUAGGAAUACCCGCUGAACUUAAGCAUAUCAAUAAGCGGAGGA
RNAcentral lists this ribosomal RNA (368 nucleotides) under uncultured fungus. RNAcentral's name for it is "eukaryotic LSU rRNA". The stretch from base 1 to 126 matches the Rfam family "5.8S ribosomal RNA", at positions 29 to 154 of the family's 154-position model. The record is from RNAcentral. Lineage: Eukaryota; Fungi.